GGAGGGUGCAAGCGUUAUCCGGAUUCACUGGGUUUAAAGGGUGUGUAGGCGGGCUGUUAAGUCAGUGGUGAAAUCUCCGGGCUCAACCCGGAAACUGCCAUUGAUACUAUCAGUCUUGAAUUCUGUUGAGGUAGGCGGAAUAUAUCAUGUAGCGGUGAAAUGCUUAGAUAUGAUAUAGAACACCGAUUGCGAAGGCAGCUUACUAAGCAGAUAUUGACGCUGAGGCACGAAAGCGUGGGGAUCAAACAGGAUUAGAUACCCUGGUAGUCCACGCCCUAAACGAUGAUUACUCGACAUACGCGAUACACAGUGUGUGUCUGAGCGAAAGCAUUAAGUAAUCCACCUGGGAAGUACGUCCGCAAGGAUGAA
This 369-nucleotide ribosomal RNA is filed under the name uncultured bacterium. RNAcentral's name for it is "bacterial SSU rRNA". It matches the Rfam family "Bacterial small subunit ribosomal RNA", at positions 527 to 898 of the family's 1533-position model. The record is from RNAcentral.